CUGGAGGGUAUGCUGGGCAUUGUCCAUCAGAAGGAGGCACCUUUGAGGCAGUUGGUUGUCAGAAAGAUAUUUCUUAAUGAUGAGUGCAAACACCUCAUGCAGCCAUUCUGUGAGCAAUUGCCUUGUGACCCAAGCUUUCACAUUGGCAUUCCACAUGACAGGCAGCCUGGUCUUGUGCACAUUCUGUUCCCUGAAUGUAUGAGGGGUCUGGAAAUGUUACACCAGGAGUGGCUUAAUCUUCAAAUCAGCACUUGUGUUCGCACAGAGCAAAAGGGUCAAUCUGUCCUUCAUGGGUUUGUGCAGUAGCCCGAACUUCCAGAAGAGCCCUGUUUCAUCAAGCUUGAGCCUUGUUGAAUGACGUAGCCUUCUGCUCUCAUGAAUUCUGAGAAUUUUUUCUUGUAGGCUUCUGCAGUGGCCUUGUCAGAACUGGAAGCCUCACCAUAUCUUAUCACACUGUGGAUACCACUUCUCUUGUGGAAUUUAUCAAACCACCCUCUACUGGCUCUAAAUUCAUCACUUGUUGCACUUGUAGAGGGGUUUUCUUGUGCACUUGUGUCCUCUGCUUGGUUAGCAACAUUACUCCUUUUGGCAUAUCAGCUCCUUUGAUGGCAUCUUUAUUCUUCAAAAUAGUCAAGAUUGUCGACUUUGCCAUCUUAUACUUCAAGGCCAGAUCAUUCAAACAAAUACCACACUUAUGCUUUUCUACAAUUUCCAUCUUCAAUUCAAUGGUUAUUUUCUUCAAAACUUUCCCCUUACCAGUUUUGCUCUGCACUUUCUUGUCACCUUCAUUACUUCUCUGUGCUUUUUUUUUUCCACCAUGCUUGCUCUUCAUUUUCUUUGAAGCAAUGGAUGGAAUAAUACUGUACAAUACUGUAUAUGCUAAAAAGCAAACAAAAAGGCUUCACACCAAGUAUGCACAGGUCUGUCUGUGAUUGAAAUCUCAACUGGAGGAAGCCAUGACUACAUAUCAGAGUGGGGAAGAUGGCCGCAGUCAUGUUCCUUGCUGACAGGCCCCCUGAGCCAGACCCCCACACAAGCGGAUCCACUACCUGCAUCCACAGAAGGACAGAGAUAACAGGAAGCCAGCAGCUGACCUGCUGCUUUUACCACCGCCCUGCUUACCAGCCAGCCACAUGCCCAUCACUUAUGAUGAAAAGGAAAAGUGUGGCAUGGGUUAAUCUGAAAAUGGAAUUAAUAACUCCAAAGUUUUGUAGCCUGUAAUAAAUGAUUAUUGUAAGCA
RNAcentral lists this long non-coding RNA (1240 nucleotides) under Heterocephalus glaber (naked mole-rat). Its description in RNAcentral is "lncRNA (ENSHGLG00100033106.1)". Lineage: Eukaryota; Metazoa; Chordata; Mammalia; Rodentia; Bathyergidae. The record is from RNAcentral.